CCCUUAGAUGUUCUGGGCCGCACGCGCGCUACACUGACGGAGGCAGCAAGCAUGUCCUUCGCCGAGAGGUGUGGGGAAUCUUGUGAGUCUCCGUCGUGCUGGGGAUAGAUGGUUGCAAUUGUCGAUCUUGAACGAGGAAUUCCUAGUAAGCGCGAGUCAUCAGCUCGCGCUGAUUACGUCCCUGCCCUUUGUACACACCGCCCGUCGCUACUACCGAUUGAAUCGUUUAGCGAGAAUUUUGGAUCGGAGCCCUGGUGGGCAGCGAUGUCCGCCUGGGAUUUACCGAGAAAUCAUUCCAGCUUGCCGAUUUAGAGGAAGUAAAAGUCGUAACA
Molecule: ribosomal RNA, 332 nt
Filed under: uncultured eukaryote
Lineage: Eukaryota
Description: partial 18S ribosomal RNA
Rfam family: Eukaryotic small subunit ribosomal RNA
Source: RNAcentral